Molecule: transfer-messenger RNA, 370 nt
Filed under: pig gut metagenome
Rfam family: transfer-messenger RNA
About the family: Bacterial tmRNA, also known as 10Sa RNA or SsrA, is named for its dual tRNA and mRNA-like properties. Its role is to liberate the mRNA from a stalled ribosome.
Source: RNAcentral
GGGGGUGUUUUGGUUUCGACUGGCUUUGCCAUGCUGUAGACUGCGGACCAAGAGCUGACUUGUAAAACCGGCAAAAAAAAUUAAAUGCUAAGAAAGAAGAAGACUACGAAGUCGAAUUCGAAGCAACAGCUCUCGCUGCGUGAGCACUUGAGCGGGAUUAUUUGAGUUAAGACUCUGAUUCUUAUAAUCCUUUGACAAAGGGGUCUCAUCUAAUAGGAUUUCAUCGACUUAUUGGAAAAAUCUAGAUGAUGCUUCAUGGCCUACGCUGGUUCCACUGCCUAAGCUGUGACUAAGACUAGAACUGGAACUAUGAUCCGUAGACGUUUAUAGGUGGAUUGUUAGGACGGGAGUUCGAGUCUCCCCACCUCCA